UGACAGCAGUGAUGAUAACGACAACGUGUCAUUUUGCUGAAUUUGUUUGAUGGGUUUAAGUCACUACCUCAUCUGAGCUGUCA
Molecule: small nucleolar RNA, 83 nt
Organism: Girardinichthys multiradiatus
Lineage: Eukaryota; Metazoa; Chordata; Actinopteri; Cyprinodontiformes; Goodeidae
Product: small nucleolar RNA SNORD11B
Exons: 1
Source: RefSeq, a predicted model, not a curated record